RNAcentral lists this small nuclear RNA (350 nucleotides) under Chinchilla lanigera (long-tailed chinchilla). RNAcentral's name for it is "7SK RNA (ENSCLAG00000021986.1)". It matches the Rfam family "7SK RNA". Rfam says of the family: 7SK was discovered as an abundant small nuclear RNA in the mid-70s but a possible function has only recently been suggested. Two independent studies have found that 7SK RNA binds the CDK9/cyclin T complex (known as elongation factor P-TEFb). P-TEFb activates transcription by phosphorylating the C-terminal domain of RNA polymerase II. Lineage: Eukaryota; Metazoa; Chordata; Mammalia; Rodentia; Chinchillidae. The record is from Rfam by way of RNAcentral.
GGACAUGAGGGCGAUGUGGCUGCGACAUCUGUCACCCCAUUGAUCGCCAGGGUUGAUUCGGCUGAUCUGGCUGGCUAGGGGCGUGUCCCCUUCCUCCCUCAACGUUCCAUGUGCGUCCCUCCCGAAGCUGCGCGCUCUGUCCAAGAGGACGACCACCCCCGAUAGAGGAGGACUGUUCCUCGGCCAAGGGUAUAGGAGUAGCUUCGUUCCCCUGCUAGAACCUGCAAAGAAGCUCACAAAUUGUCUAGCCUUAGAUUGGUAAGUAGGUAUCAUAAAAGUAUCACCUAAAGCUGAGAAAAGCAAAUAAGGUAAUUAUAUUGAAUAUAAUUAAGAUGAUACUGUUUAUCUUU